RNAcentral lists this transfer RNA (73 nucleotides) under Actinomycetota bacterium. RNAcentral's name for it is "Actinobacteria bacterium tRNA-Gly". It matches the Rfam family "tRNA". Rfam says of the family: Transfer RNA (tRNA) molecules are approximately 80 nucleotides in length. The record is from RNAcentral. Lineage: Bacteria; Bacillati; Actinomycetota.
GCGGAUGUAGCUCAGUUGGUAGAGCGUCUGCUUGCCAUGCAGAAGGUCGUGGGUUCGAAUCCCAUCAUCCGCU